RNAcentral lists this ribosomal RNA (585 nucleotides) under uncultured bacterium. Its description in RNAcentral is "bacterial SSU rRNA". It matches the Rfam family "Bacterial small subunit ribosomal RNA", at positions 338 to 916 of the family's 1533-position model. The record is from RNAcentral.
CCUACGGGAGGCAGCAGUGGGGAAUUUUGGACAAUGGGCGCAAGCCUGAUCCAGCCAUGCCGCGUGCGGGAAGAAGGCCUUCGGGUUGUAAACCGCUUUUGGCAGGAACGAAACGGCGACUUCUAAUACGAGUCGUUAAUGACGGUACCUGCAGAAUAAGCACCGGCUAACUACGUGCCAGCAGCCGCGGUAACACGUAGGGUGCAAGCGUUAAUCGGAAUUACUGGGCGUAAAGCGUACGCAGGCGGCUUUGCAAGACAGGUGCGAAAUCCCCGGGCCUAACCUGGGAACUGCAUUUGUGACUACAUGGCUAGAGUCUGUCAGAGGGGGGUGGAAUUCCACGUGUAGCAGUGAAAUGCGUAGAGAUGUGGAAGAACACCGAUGGCGAAGGCAGCCCCCUGGGAUGAGACCGACGCUCAUGUACGAAAGCGUGGGGAGCAAACGGGAUUAGAUACCCUGGUAGUCCACGCCCUAAACGAUGUCUACUAGUUGUCGGAGGGUAACUCCUUCGGUAACGCAGCUAACGCGUGAAGUAGACCGCCUGGGGAGUACGGUCGCAAGAUUAAAACUCAAAGGAAUUGACGG